AGGACCAAGGGCAACAGCAGGAGCCCUGUUCCCCAACCUGAUUUGAAAUUUAUGCUGAUGAAACAAGAGAGAUUUUAAUAUAUGAUGGAAGGAAGUUGGAUUAACAUUGAUCUUCCUGGAAGGAUGAGUGCUCCAUCAUAAGCCAAUUUAACUGGUGAUCCUCUUUUGCUUGCCCCUGUACUACCAAGGCUCAGCUCUUCAUUCUUUAUGAAGCUUUCCUCGAACAGAGUGCACCUGCUGCCCCAGAGACCCAUUGUACAUUGUAUGACAACUCUGAUGCUCACAUUCAAUCAUUGGCCCCAUAAAGUUUGGCCUGGCCAUGAAAUCAUAAUCCCCUUUCCCUCUUC
Chrysemys picta bellii (western painted turtle) is the source of this 347-nucleotide non-coding RNA. NCBI's taxonomy places the organism in Eukaryota, Metazoa, Chordata, Testudines, Emydidae. The record is from RefSeq and is a predicted model, not a curated record.